Molecule: long non-coding RNA, 4216 nt
Organism: Panicum virgatum (switchgrass)
Lineage: Eukaryota; Viridiplantae; Streptophyta; Magnoliopsida; Poales; Poaceae
Exons: 4
Source: RefSeq, a predicted model, not a curated record
GAACGAGAAAGAUUCCACCAAACAUCGCUGUUUUUUCUCACCUCCUCGCGCAUACCCGCUUGCGUACCCGCCCGACACAGCCUCCCAAUCCUCCGUGAAAUCAGCCAAUUAGUCAAUUCAAUUUGGAAGCAAUCCACCGCUUCCAUUCUCCUCCCGAUCCUCGACGCCCCUACACCUCCCCAUCUGCACUGCGAGGGCGAGGGGAGGCCGGGUGGGAUGAUGAGGCGGAGCAGGGACGCCGGUGAGGGGCGGAUGGCGUCUGGCGAGGCCGCACUGGCGCGGCCGGCGAAGUGAGGUGCAGCACGCCGGUGGAGGGGUGGAUGGUCGGGCCAGCGCAGGGAGCCGUGCACCAUUAGAGGGGCGGAGGGCGAGGCGGCGGCACGGCGCAGGGAACAAGCCCCACGGCCGACGAAGCGCCGCGAGGAACUUCUGGAGGGGCGGACCGGUGGAGGUUCGGGAUGGUACAGGGAUGGCGGAGGUUCCGGAUCCGCAUCGCCAUGCCGCGGCUACCCCUCCCCAUAUGGAAGGAGCUCGAGCAGCGGUCCGGCGCUCGAUUUCGUCGCGUGGAGGCGAAGCUGGCCACCAGGUACGCAUGGCACUCCAAAUUCGCCGCCGCCAAGUAAGGAAUACUCCCAAGUAAGACGCGUACCAACUCCAUGAGUCAAAGACCUCCGUGGGCCGCCUCGCUGAGAAGCUCUCCGCACCCGCUUCAGUAUCCGGCGCGGCGUCGGCGCCACCCUCCCCCAACGUGCUCCCGGAGAUCCUCCGCCACACCGUGCCCAUCAGAGGGCCGCCUCGCUGAGAAGCUCUCCGCAACCGCGAGCGUCCACCCCGACGCGCUCAACCUGCUCCUUUCCUACGUCUCGCUGCUGCAGGCCACCUUCGGCUCAAAAAGGUAUUAGCCUCUCCCAGUCUCUCUCCCAUUGUAUUGUGUACACAGAUAAUUUCCAGCAGGCGUGAAGUGAAAAAAACAAAUCAAUACCAAUUUACAUGUACACUAUAGUGGCACAGGUGAAGUGAAAAGAGCAAAUCUUCAUAUUUUUAUAUGCAAACGAUGGUUAAAAAAGAAACUUUCAUUCAGAUAGGAUCAUCUUUUUCUUCGGAUUCUUUUUUCAGAAGUGCUCAACAUAACCUUAUCAAGCUUAUUUAGUAUCCUGUCGAUGUUUGCUCUUGUUUGCAUACUUUGAAAGCAACAGCUUUCUGUCCACUAUGAUUAUCAAGCGUAUUAAGUAUCAUGGGCUUUGGUGAUUGAUUCAUGUGAGCAGUGAUUAUCAAGCUUUAGUUGCUGCUAUUCUUCUCGGUAAUUUUUAAAUGCCAAGCAGGCUCCUCUGGUGGUUGAUAAUUAUAGAUUCAUGUGUAGAGAUAUUACAUAUUUUUACCUUGUUGGAAGUAGUACUUGUUCAGCAAAAUGUCGGUUUCCUCCCAUGUAUAGAAAUAGAAGUUAUAAAGAUCAAAAGUAGUACACAGGCAACUUUUUAGCUUAUGGUUGUGAACAUUAGUACGUAGCUUUUCACAGAAAGAAAUAAAAUGAUUACAUGGUCAAAAUAGUUAUAUUGAUGGUACCUGAACCAAAACUUGCUUAAGAAUCAUGACUAUGUUCAUGACAUUGUUGCUCUGUCUUGUAUUUAUUCUUUUUUCCAUGAUAUUUUUUAUGAGUGUAUUGUUACAUGUCGAGGAUAUUGCUUUCUGAUCUUUUUUUUUUCCCUCCUUUGCAUAUAUACACCAUAUGGAGGCUACAUUCUAGCAGUACAUCAAGAGAAAUAAUGAGGUGCUUCUACAGGUAUGAUGCUGCUCAGUAUUUUCGAAUAAGCCGAAACAUCCAAUGAGAGUAAUUAUCCUUGAAAUAUGAAAACUGGUCAUUUUGUAAAGCAGGUUCAAUUUUAAAAGGCUCUAUCACAUGGUCUCUGAAUGUCUAGACUCUUGGGUGCCUAUAAUAAUUGUUGUGUGCCUGCAGGGUUCUAUGAGGUCUCUUUCUUGUUAGUGGUUAGAUGACAAGAGUGCUCAAAAUGUGGUUGGUGGUUUCUGAAUGGUUCCUAUUGGGGGAAUAUAGAGGCUAGAUAUGCUUUACACUCUUCAGAAAUAUAAUCUUUACCAUUAUAUUAUAUUUAGAUAUUCAGUAUAGUAUUAGAUUAUAUAUAUUUAGCUCAAUAUAUUCCAAUCAUGAUGUUUCCUGAGAUAGCAUGGAUUUAUAUAUAAUAAAUCUUAUCUAAACUAAGAUAAGUUCUUGCAUGCUCCUAGACUACAAAAGAGAAAAAACAAUUUUAAGAGGCCAAAGCAUCUUCAUUAAUUCUUUUUAAUUUGGCUUACUAGCUGUCUGUAAAACUUGGUUAUGGUCUGAGAAACACAACUCUAAAUGUCUGCCACUUGAAACUGAGAACCAAAUUUUCCUUUUUAAUACAUUGGAUAUUACAUAUAUGUUUAUUUUUGGGAACCACCUUUUUUAUGGAGUGUACUUGCAAAAAAUUAGACAUAGAUAUCGUAUCGUCAUCAAUUUUUUGGGUUUCCAUUUCAAUCCCAUGGGUAAGCUUAGUUAUUUAGUAAUAAUAUGAUUUGGAACGAUAUUAAUGCUAUGCGACUAAAUUUGAGUACCAGCAUUUAAAUCAUAGUUUGAUAAUUAUUAACCUUGCCUAAGUUUCAUCAUUGCUCAUGAUGGCUGAGUAGGACCAAUUGUUCUAUGUCUAGAAUUGUAUCCUGUGCUUCACCCAACUAUGAUAUUAUGCUCUAAAUUUCAGCUACCAUUGCUGCACAUGAGCAGAGAUUGUGGAGCCCGCACUGCCACUCUAUGAUGGCAUGUUUUAGGCUAAAAAGCUUGGAUUGUCAAAGGAGUAGCUGCUGGAAAUUCUACCAUGUGUGGAUGGUGCCUUAUUAAAUUAAGAAUACUAUUAGAGAUCCAGAGGACUCCACAAAAACUUAUCCCUGUUUCAACCCAGAAGAUACAUCAGGUUUCAGGGACCUAGAUAAACACGGAGUUUUAGGCUUUUAUCUUUCUGAAAGCUAAAUGACUUCACAUCGUUCAGUAAGGAAAAAAGUCGAGAGACCUCAAUCCGGAAGCUGAAGCUGUAGACGUGGUAUGGUGAACUGCUAAGGAAGCAUCUGCAGUAAUUGCAAGCAAAUCGAUUCAGAUUAAGUUUUGCAAGCAAAUUACCUGAAUCAUGAUUGCUUGAAUCUUGAUACAUUUGAUGAGUAGAAAUAACGAAAAGUGUUGUUCAGUGCCAAAUCUCUUAUUAGUACUAUUGAUAUUGCACUCCUGAUUCGAUUACAAUCACCAGUAAGACGCUUUGCUCAAUAUGAAGUAUAUCCCUCGAUCUCCAGGGUCGAUUGUACCAGGAUACAUUUUAGGAGGUUCUAUUUGCAUAUCUAUCUAUGCUAACCUCUUUUUAUAUUUUGAAGAUAUGUCAGUAUCUGAAUUAGCAACAUAAAUCCGUAUAUUGAGAGAUUGCCUGAAUGUUGAGAGAUUUAUAUUGUAAUAGUGAACACAUCUUCUCUGUGCACAGUUAGUAGAUAAUGAAACCCUGAACAGACAAUAUUUGUCCUUUAAUCAGGAUUGAGAUAAGGAAAUAAAGUAAUGGAUUAGUGUUUGGGUGUUAUCUGUUUUGUUGAAAGUUUUCCCAUGCUUAUAUACUCCACGAUCCAAACUUAAAUGGGUGUUACAUACAAAGAUAUGAAAAUUGGAUCCGAUUAGCAGCAAUGCUAGGAGGAAUUAGUUUAUUGGAGGAAACAGAUAUAUCCUAUAGACCUUAUUACCAGCAAUGUUCUUCUGUCUAUUUCAUGCUUGUCCCUAUCCUCCUAAACUAAUUUUGUUAAACCCGUGGCUGAUGAUAAUUCGGUUAAGCUAUCCUAACUAACCAUCGUGUAUAUGGGAUGCACGAGGAUAUAUUUGCUACUCAUCAAUAGUAGAACCCAUCAAUGUAUUUCAUGAUUCCAGUUCUAUCUUCUAUUUUUGCACUCAUAUGGCAGUAACAACAUGCUAUUUUUGUUCCAGGAUGCUACAUGAGCGCUUCAGUUCCAGCUCAAUCUGCAUACAUGAUUUGUUUCCAAGAAGUCCUUAUGGUCAUUGUGCCUGUCUAACCAAAGACGAGUCAAGGUUUCAUACAAUUUAUUGGCUAGAAUAAUCUCCUGUGACCCAUUCGGUUACCAACUCUCUCAAACGUGUGGUGGUCAUCGUGUCAUCUGUUCUCUUCUUCAGAACUCCACUUUUACCUUGCCUUAGGCAUGU